AACGAACGCUGGCGGCAGGCCUAACACAUGCAAGUCGAGCGGACCCUUCGGGGUUAGCGGCGGACGGGUGAGUAACGCGUGGGAAUAUGCCCUUCUCUACGGAAUAGUCCUGGGAAACUGGGGGUAAUACCGUAUACGCCCUGUGGGGGAAAGAUUUAUCGGGGAAGGAUUAGCCCGCGUUGGAUUAGGUAGUUGGUGGGGUAAUGGCCUACCAAGCCGACGAUCCAUAGCUGGUUUGAGAGGAUGAUCAGCCACACUGGGACUGAGACACGGCCCAGACUCCUACGGGAGGCAGCAGUGGGGAAUCUUAGACAAUGGGGGCAACCCUGAUCUAGCCAUGCCGCGUGAGUGAUGAAGGCCUUAGGGUUGUAAAGCUCUUUCAGCUGGGAAGAUAAUGACGGUACCAGCAGAAGAAGCCCCGGCUAACUCCGUG
RNAcentral lists this ribosomal RNA (433 nucleotides) under uncultured bacterium. RNAcentral's name for it is "partial 16S ribosomal RNA". It matches the Rfam family "Bacterial small subunit ribosomal RNA", at positions 29 to 507 of the family's 1533-position model. The record is from RNAcentral.